Molecule: long non-coding RNA, 397 nt
Organism: Thunnus maccoyii (southern bluefin tuna)
Lineage: Eukaryota; Metazoa; Chordata; Actinopteri; Scombriformes; Scombridae
Exons: 3
Source: RefSeq, a predicted model, not a curated record
UUCAGCAGAAGAUGAAACCUGUGACUGGAUGGCAUCACAGAGAAAACAGACAAGAACAUUCAUUCAAAAGUGAAAGACAUUUGCAGAACUGCACUUCCUGAGGCAGAGAAAAAUUAUGUUGUUGCUGCCAUUGAUGUUGUUCACCAACUUGGACAUCCCAAGGAGCCGACCAGAGGCCAAAAGCCACUACUCCCCCUGACCCAUUCAUGUAUGAGUGUUCUGUCAAUCUUCACCUGCCCAUCAAAUGCCCUCAGACUUUUCCACUGGCCCAAGCAUCCUGAUUCCCACAUAUACCUGCUCACCUGUUCUCACUCAUCUGCAUGUCAAAUCCUUCCUGCCUACAGGAAUGAGUAGUGAUAGAGCCAGGUGGGAGGCCAGGUGGGGAGCAGGAAUUGCA